AUGGAUUUACCUGGACCAAUACAUGAGAUUCUUAUGCUAUUUGGGGGAUCUGUUCUUCUAAGGGGUCUAGGAGUAGUAUUACUUGCCAACCCCAUUUAUUCUGCCUUUUCGCUGGGAUUAGUUCUUGUUUGUAUAUCUUUAUUCUAUUUUUUAUUAAAUUCCUACUUUGUAGCUGUCGCACAACUUCUUAUUUAUGUGGGAGCCAUAAAUGUCUUGAUCAUAUUCGUUGUAAUGUUCGUAAAUGGCUCAGAAUGGUCUAAAGAUAAGAAUUGUUAG
This 276-nucleotide ribosomal RNA is filed under the name Triticum aestivum (bread wheat). RNAcentral describes it as "partial small subunit ribosomal RNA". Lineage: Eukaryota; Viridiplantae; Streptophyta; Magnoliopsida; Poales; Poaceae. The record is from RNAcentral.